CUGGGACUCCGCAUUUGGGUGGAUGCUGGGUAGACUAGCGGUUUCCAAGAAAAGUGCUUUAUGAAGAACACUUUAUAAAGUGAUGGUGAUAAACGCUUUCAAAAUAUUUCAAAGAACUGAACCAAGAAGGUAUUUAGGUGGAUCCUGCUCAAGAAGCCCCUCGGGAGAAAUCAGAGGAACACCGAUUGACUUAAAAAGUAACUCCUCAUAUGUUAUUUAGGCCCUUUUUUUUUUUCAGAGCAUCACUGGAAAUCAGGGAAAGGGUUUCUUUCCCAUAUGUCAACUCAAGCUGAUACCUUGAGUAUCAGGGGCCUUGUACCCUGAUACAGUAGCAGGGGCCCUGCUCUUCGCCCAUUUCAGUAGGAGUUGUUUAUACACAAGUCAAGCCAUUUGGGUUGUUACAGGCUUAGAUAAACGUCUCACUGUAGGGUGGACCCUCAGAGUUCCAUUAGGCAGCGAGAAGGAAAGAAAGGUAAGAUGACCCCACCAGUUUAAGUAGGGGGUGCAUGCCUUUUCAAUCAAGACACCUGAGCCCACAUUGUGGUUUGUCUUUCAUUAAUCAAGGGAAGUUGGGCAAAUCAUUCAAACCCCUAUGUCUCUUUCCUCCUCUGUAAAAUAAAGCUCUACAUUAGAUUUCCCCCAGAUAAUAAGGUCACUAUUAACUUAUUCUUAAA
Molecule: long non-coding RNA, 674 nt
Organism: Balaenoptera acutorostrata (minke whale)
Lineage: Eukaryota; Metazoa; Chordata; Mammalia; Artiodactyla; Balaenopteridae
Exons: 3
Source: RefSeq, a predicted model, not a curated record